This 233-nucleotide ribosomal RNA is filed under the name uncultured bacterium. RNAcentral describes it as "partial 16S ribosomal RNA". It matches the Rfam family "Bacterial small subunit ribosomal RNA", at positions 100 to 334 of the family's 1533-position model. The record is from RNAcentral.
CGGGACGGGUGAGUAAUGUCUGGGAAACUGCCCGAUGGAGGGGGAUAACUACUGGAAACGGUAGCUAAUACCGCAUAACGUCGCAAGACCAAAGAGGGGGACCUUAGGGCCUCUUGCCAUCGGAUGUGCCCAGAUGGGAUUAGCUAGUAGGUGGGGUAACGGCUCACCUAGGCGACGAUCCCUAGCUGGUCUGAGAGGAUGACCAGCCACACUGGAACUGAGACACGGUCCAG